UGGUGGAGUGAUUUGUCUACUUAAUUGUGAUAACGAACGAGACCUUAACCUGCUAAAUAGUCGCACGAAUCUCUUGAUUCGUGAUAGACUUCUUAGAGGGACUUUGCGUGUCUAACGCAAGGAAGUUUGAGGCAAUAACA
This 140-nucleotide ribosomal RNA is filed under the name uncultured eukaryote. Its description in RNAcentral is "partial 18S ribosomal RNA". It matches the Rfam family "Eukaryotic small subunit ribosomal RNA", at positions 1299 to 1458 of the family's 1831-position model. The record is from RNAcentral.